Molecule: ribosomal RNA, 760 nt
Filed under: uncultured bacterium
Lineage: Bacteria
Description: bacterial SSU rRNA
Rfam family: Bacterial small subunit ribosomal RNA
Source: RNAcentral
AGAGUUUGAUCAUGGCUCAGGAUGAACGCUAGCGGCAGGCUUAAUACAUGCAAGUCGAGGGGCAUCGGAUCCCUUCGGGGAUGCCGGCGACCGGCGAACGGGUGAGUAACACGUAUGGAACCUGCCCUUAACUGGGGGAUAGCCCCGAGAAAUCGGGGUUAAUACCCCAUACCAUAAUGAAGGGGCAUCCCUUCAUUAUGAAAGCUCCGGCGGUUAAGGAUGGCCAUGCGGUCCAUUAGCUUGUUGGUGAGGUAACUGCUCACCAAGGCCACGAUGGAUAGCUGAUCUGAGAGGAUGGUCAGCCACAUUGGCACUGAGACACGGGCCAAACUCCUACGGGAGGCAGCAGUAGGGAAUCUUGGUCAAUAGGCGAAAGCCUGAACCAGCCAUGCCGCGUGCAGGAUGAAGGCCCUACGGGUCGUAAACUGCUUUCAUUCGGGAAGAAAAAGUCUGUGUCCACAGACCUUGACGGUACCGAAUGAAUAAGGACCGGCCAACUCCGUGCCAGCAGCCGCGGUAAUACGGAGGGUCCAAGCGUUAUCCGGAUUCACUGGGUUUAAAGGGUGCGCAGGCGGUCAAGUAAGUCAGUGGUGAAAGCCUUCGGCUCAACCGGAGAAUUGCCAUUGAAACUACCUGACUUGAGUGUAGUUGAGGUGGGCGGAAUGUAGCAUGUAGCGGUGAAAUGCAUAGAUAUGCUACAGAACACCGAUAGCGAAAGCAGCUCACCAGACUACGACUGACGCUGAGGCACGAAAGCAUG